This 291-nucleotide ribosomal RNA is filed under the name Cronobacter sakazakii. Its description in RNAcentral is "partial 16S ribosomal RNA". It matches the Rfam family "Bacterial small subunit ribosomal RNA", at positions 115 to 414 of the family's 1533-position model. The record is from RNAcentral. Lineage: Bacteria; Pseudomonadati; Pseudomonadota; Gammaproteobacteria; Enterobacterales; Enterobacteriaceae.
GUCUGGGAAACUGCCUGAUGGAGGGGGAUAACUACUGGAAAGCUACUACCGCAUGACAUCUUCGGACCACGGUGGGGGACCUUCGGGUCUCAUGCCAUCAGUUUUGCCCAGAUGGGAUUAGCUGGUAGGUGGGGGAGCGGCUCACCUAGGCGACGAUCACUAGCUGGUCUGAGGGGUUGACCAGCCACACUUGAACUGAGAAACGGUCCCGACUCCUAUGCGAGGCACUAGUUGGGAAUAUGCCACAAUGGUCGCAAGCAUGAUGCAGACAUGCCGCGUGGAUGCUGAAGG